AUUGAACGCUGGCGGCAGGCCUAACACAUGCAAGUCGAACGGUAGCACAGAGGAGCUUGCUCCUUGGGUGACGAGUGGCGGACGGGUGAGUAAUGUCUGGGAAACUGCCCGAUGGAGGGGGAUAACUACUGGAAACGGUAGCUAAUACCGCAUAACGUCGCAAGACCAAAGAGGGGGACCUUCGGGCCUCUUGCCAUCGGAUGUGCCCAGAUGGGAUUAGCUAGUAGGUGGGGUAACGGCUCACCUAGGCGACGAUCCCUAGCUGGUCUGAGAGGAUGACCAGCCACACUGGAACUGAGACACGGUCCAGACUCUUACGGGAGGCAGCAGUGGGGAAUAUUGCACAAUGGGCGCAAGCCUGAUGCAGCCAUGCCGCGUGUAUGAAGAAGGCCUUCGGGUUGUAAAGUACUUUCAGCGAGGAGGAAGGCGUUGUGGUUAAUAACCGCAACGAUUGACGUUACUCGCAGAAGAAGCACCGGCUAACUCCGUGCCAGCCGCCGCGGUAAAAGGG
This 511-nucleotide ribosomal RNA is filed under the name uncultured Enterobacterales bacterium. RNAcentral describes it as "bacterial SSU rRNA". It matches the Rfam family "Bacterial small subunit ribosomal RNA", at positions 30 to 528 of the family's 1533-position model. Lineage: Bacteria; Pseudomonadati; Pseudomonadota; Gammaproteobacteria; Enterobacterales. The record is from RNAcentral.